Molecule: ribosomal RNA, 447 nt
Filed under: Triticum aestivum (bread wheat)
Lineage: Eukaryota; Viridiplantae; Streptophyta; Magnoliopsida; Poales; Poaceae
Description: partial small subunit ribosomal RNA
Source: RNAcentral
AUGGUUUGGUCCAUCCGCGUUCCCCUAAAGAUCCGCAUCUUCAUGUGGCAGUGGAUUCGCCGUCGGGUCCCAUCUGGGGUGGAGGUCUGCAAGCGGAAUGGCCCGGGUACUGGUAUCUGCCCGCUCUGUGGUGUUCCUGAAGACUCGAACCACAUCUUCUUCUCCUGCAUCUCCGCCCAGUUCCUCUGGAGCUGCUUUCGCGCGGUGGUCGGUGGAAGUUGGUGCCACACCAAUUUCCCGGACCUAUUUGCUGAACUCCAGCUGUCCCACGUGACGGCUCGCCACAUUAGGUGGCUUGAGGCUGGGGUUCUCGCUUGGACUCUAUGGACCGUUUGCAAUAAGCUUGUGAUUCAGCUUACUCCCCUUCGACGGGCUACUGACGCUCUCUUCAAACUAUCGGGUUUCUUGCAGCUUUGGCGGCCGCUUAGCCGCCCCCCCGGACCGUGA